Molecule: ribosomal RNA, 468 nt
Filed under: uncultured bacterium
Lineage: Bacteria
Description: partial 16S ribosomal RNA
Rfam family: Bacterial small subunit ribosomal RNA
Source: RNAcentral
GACGAACGCUGGCGGCGUGCUUAACACAUGCAAGUCGAACGGAAAGGCCCUGCUUUUGUGGGGUGCUCGAGUGGCGAACGGGUGAGUAACACGUGAGUAACCUGCCCUUGACUUUGGGAUAACUUCAGGAAACUGGGGCUAAUACCGGAUAGGAGCUCCUGCUGCAUGGUGGGGGUGGGAAAGUUUCGGCGGUUGGGGAUGGAUGCGCGGCUUACCAGCUUGUUGGUGGGGUAGUGGCUUACCAAGGCUUUGACGGGUAGCCGGCCUGAGAGGGUGACCGGCCACAUUGGGACUGAGAGACGGCCCAGACUCCUACGGGAGGCAGCAGGGGGGAAUAUUGCACAAUGGGCGGAAGCCUGAUGCAGCAACGCCGCGUGCGGGAUGACGGCCUUCGGGUUGUAAACCGCUUUCGCCUGUGACGAAGCGGGAGUGACGGUAAUGGGUAAAGAAGCACCGGCUAACUACGUG